UCAAAUUUGAAAUCUGGCGCCUUGUGCGCCCGAGUUGUAAUUUGUAGAGGAUGUUUCGGGUGCGGCACCGAUCUAAGUUCCUUGGAACAGGGCGUCAUAGAGGGUGAGAAUCCCGUAUGUGACCGGUCGCCUAUCCCAUGUGAAACUCCUUCGACGAGUCGAGUUGUUUGGGAAUGCAGCUCAAAAUGGGUGGUAUAUUUCAUCUAAAGCUAAAUAUUGGCCAGAGACCGAUAGCGCACAAGUAGAGUGAUCGAAAGAUGAAAAGCACUUUGGAAAGAGAGUUAAAAAGUACGUGAAAUUGUUGAAAGGGAAGCGCUUGCGACCAGACUCGCCCGGGGGUGAUCAACCGUCCUUUUGGGCGGUGCACUUUCCCUCGGGCGGGCCAGCAUCGGUUCGGGCGGCUGGAUAAAGGCUUCGGGAAUGUAGCUCCUCUCGGGGAGUGUUAUAGCCCGGGGUGCAAUGCAGCCAGUCUGGACCGAGGACCGCGCUUUUGCUAGGAUGCUGGCGUAAUGGUCGUCAGCGACCCGUCUUGAAACACGGACCAAGGAGUUAACCACCGGUGCGAGUGUUUGGGUGUCAAACCCGUACGCGUAAUGAAAGUGAACGGAGGUGAGAACCCCUUUCGGGGCGCAUCAUCGACCGAUCCUGAUGUCUUCGGAUGGAUUUGAGUAAGAGCACCGUUGGUUUGACCCGAAAGAUGGUGAUCUUUACGCGGAUAGGGUGAAGCCAGAGGAAACU
This 738-nucleotide ribosomal RNA is filed under the name Hormodochis aggregata. RNAcentral's name for it is "partial large subunit ribosomal RNA". It matches the Rfam family "Eukaryotic large subunit ribosomal RNA", at positions 109 to 863 of the family's 3401-position model. The record is from RNAcentral. Lineage: Eukaryota; Fungi; Ascomycota.